UACGGAGGAUCCAAGCGUUAUCCGGAUUUAUUGGGUUUAAAGGGUGCGUAGGCGGCUUUUUAAGUCAGGGGUGAAAGACGGUGGCUCAACCAUCGCAGUGCCCUUGAUACUGAAGAGCUUGAAUAAACUAGAGGUAGGCGGAAUGUGACAAGUAGCGGUGAAAUGCAUAGAUAUGUCACAGAACACCAAUUGCGAAGGCAGCUUACUAUGGUUUAAUUGACGCUGAGGCACGAAAGCGUGGGGAUCAAACAGG
Molecule: ribosomal RNA, 253 nt
Filed under: uncultured bacterium
Lineage: Bacteria
Also listed under: 2 other names
Description: partial 16S ribosomal RNA
Rfam family: Bacterial small subunit ribosomal RNA
Source: RNAcentral